UGAUUAGUGGCGAACGGGUGAGUACACGUGGGCAAUCUGCCCUGCACUCUGGGACAAGCCCUGGAAACGGGGUCUAAUACCGGAUACGACACGGGACCGCAUGGUCUUCGUGUGGAAAGCUCCGGCGGUGCAGGAUGAGCCCGCGGCCUAUCAGCUUGUUGGUGAGGUAAUGGCUCACCAAGGCGACGACGGGUAGCCGGCCUGAGAGGGCGACCGGCCACACUGGGACUGAGACACGGCCCAGACUCCUACGGGAGGCAGCAGUGGGGAAUAUUGCACAAUGGGCGAAAGCCUGAUGCAGCGACGCCGCGUGAGGGAUGACGGCCUUCGGGUUGUAAACCUCUUUCAGCAGGGAAGAAGCGAAAGUGACGGUACCUGCAGAAGAAGCGCCGGCUAACUACGUGCCAGCAGCCGCGGUAAUACGUAGGGCGCAAGCGUUGUCCGGAAUUAUUGGGCGUAAAGAGCUCGUAGGCGGCUUGUCACGUCGGAUGUGAAAGCCCGGGGCUUAACCCCGGGUCUGCAUUCGAUACGGGCAGGCUAGAGUUCGGUAGGGGAGAUCGGAAUUCCUGGUGUAGCGGUGAAAUGCGCAGAUAUCAGGAGGAACACCGGUGGCGAAGGCGGAUCUCUGGGCCGAUACUGACGCUGAGGAGCGAAAGCGUGGGGGAGCGAACAGGAUUAGAUACCCUGGUAGUCCACGCCGUAAACGGUGGGCACUAGGUGUGGGCAACAUUCCACGUUGUCCGUGCCGCAGCUAACGCAUUAGUGCCCCGCCUGGGGGAGUACGGCCGCAGCUAAACUCAAGGAUGACGGGGUCCGCACAGCAGCGAGCAUGUGCUAUCGACGCACGCGA
This 850-nucleotide ribosomal RNA is filed under the name Streptomyces sp. RNAcentral describes it as "bacterial SSU rRNA". It matches the Rfam family "Bacterial small subunit ribosomal RNA", at positions 89 to 964 of the family's 1533-position model. Lineage: Bacteria; Bacillati; Actinomycetota; Actinomycetes; Kitasatosporales; Streptomycetaceae. The record is from RNAcentral.